RNAcentral lists this non-coding RNA (198 nucleotides) under Levilactobacillus brevis. RNAcentral describes it as "Lactobacillus brevis T-box sequence". It matches the Rfam family "T-box leader". Rfam says of the family: Uncharged tRNA acts as the effector for transcription antitermination of genes in the T-box leader family. T-boxes are found upstream of many aminoacyl-tRNA synthetase genes and some amino acid biosynthetic genes usually in Gram-positive bacteria. Lineage: Bacteria; Bacillati; Bacillota; Bacilli; Lactobacillales; Lactobacillaceae. The record is from RNAcentral.
GCAUAAGCAAAGAAGCAGUUCAGUAGUGGUGGCGGCUCCGGUUGAGAGAUUUGACGGUGCUGGGAGUCAAAACGUCCGUGGCCAUGAAUUACCCUGUGGAGCGGCCGAGGUGUCGGCGGGUCAUUCCGUUAACAAUGACGAGCGGUUGUCAAUCGACAACAACUUGGGUGGUAACGCGGAUUUCAAUUCGUCCCUGAU